AACGCGUGGGAAUCUACCUAGUAGUGGAGGAUAACUCGGGGAAACUCGAGCUAAUACUGCAUACGCCCUACGGGGGAAAGCGGGGGAUCUUCGGACCUCGCGCUAUUGGAUGAGCCCGCGUUAGAUUAGCUUGUUGGUGAGGUAAUGGCUCACCAAGGCGACGAUCUAUAGCUGGUCUGAGAGGAUGAUCAGCCACAUUGGGACUGAGACACGGCCCAAACUCCUACGAGAGGCAGCAGUGGGGAAUAUUGCGCAAUGGGCGAAAGCCUGACGCAGCCAUGCCGCGUGUGUGAAGAAGGCCUUCGGGUUGUAAAGCACUUUCAAUAGGGAGGAAAGGUUGUAGCUUAAUACGUUGCAACUGUGACGUUACCUAUAGAAGAAGCACCGGCUAACUCCGUGCCAGCAGCCGCGGUAAUACGGAGGGUGCGAGCGUUAAUCGGAAUUACUGGGCGUAAAGCGCGCGUAGGCGGCUUCGUCAGUCAGAUGUGAAAGCCCCGGGCUCAACCUGGGAACUGCAUUUGAUACUGCGGAGCUAGAGUAUGGUAGAGGA
This 550-nucleotide ribosomal RNA is filed under the name uncultured bacterium. RNAcentral's name for it is "bacterial SSU rRNA". It matches the Rfam family "Bacterial small subunit ribosomal RNA", at positions 112 to 658 of the family's 1533-position model. The record is from RNAcentral.